GUCACUCCCACCUGAAUAUAUAGGGUGGGUAGAUCGAACGCAGCGAACUGAAACAUCUAAGUAGCUGCAGGAAAAGAAAUCAACCGAGAUUCCCAAAAGUAGUGGCGAGCGAAAUGGGAAGAGCCUGUAUGUGAUAGUCAACUGGUUAGUGGAACGGAAUGGAAAGUCCGGCGAUAGAGGGUGAUAGCCCCGUACACGAAAACUGGUUGGUGGUACUGAGCAUACGACAAGUAGGGCGGGGCACGAGAAACCUUGUCUGAACAUGGGGGGACCAUCCUCCAAGGCUAAAUACUCGUAAUCGACCGAUAGUGAACCAGUACCGUGAGGGAAAGGCGAAAAGAACCCCGGGAGGGGAGUGAAAUAGAACCUGAAACCGUGUGCAUACAAACAGUGGGAGCGGACUUGUUCCGUGACUGCGUACCUUUUGUAUAAUGGGUCAGCGACUUACGUUCAGUAGCGAGCUUAACCGAGUAGGGGAGGCGUAGGGAAACCGAGUCCGAAUAGGGCGCAUAGUUGCUGGGCGUAGACCCGAAACCAAGUGAUCUAUCCAUGGCCUAGG
RNAcentral lists this ribosomal RNA (559 nucleotides) under uncultured bacterium. RNAcentral describes it as "bacterial LSU rRNA". It matches the Rfam family "Bacterial large subunit ribosomal RNA", at positions 147 to 745 of the family's 2925-position model. The record is from RNAcentral.